GUCUCCUUAGCUCAGCUGGAUAGAGCGGCUCCCUCCUAAGGAGCAGGCCACAGGUUCGAAUCCUGUAGGGGACACCA
RNAcentral lists this transfer RNA (77 nucleotides) under Moritella dasanensis. RNAcentral describes it as "tRNA-Arg". It matches the Rfam family "tRNA". Rfam says of the family: Transfer RNA (tRNA) molecules are approximately 80 nucleotides in length. RNAcentral also lists the same sequence under 3 other names. Lineage: Bacteria; Pseudomonadati; Pseudomonadota; Gammaproteobacteria; Alteromonadales; Moritellaceae. The record is from RNAcentral.